RNAcentral lists this ribosomal RNA (253 nucleotides) under uncultured bacterium. Its description in RNAcentral is "partial 16S ribosomal RNA". It matches the Rfam family "Bacterial small subunit ribosomal RNA", at positions 524 to 776 of the family's 1533-position model. The record is from RNAcentral.
UACGUAGGGCGCAAGCGUUGUCCGGAAUUAUUGGGCGUAAAGAGCUCGUAGGCGGCCUGUCGCGUCUGCUGUGAAAUCCCGGGGCUCAACCCCGGGCCUGCAGUGGAUACGGGCUGGCUGGAGGCAGGCAGGGGAGAACGGAAUUCCUGGUGUAGCGGUGAAAUGCGUAGAGAUCCGGAGGAACACCAAAGGCGAAGGCAGUGUCCUGGGGAGUACCUGACGCUCAGGUGCGAAAGCCAGGGGAGCGAACGGG